RNAcentral lists this unclassified non-coding RNA (222 nucleotides) under plant metagenome. Its description in RNAcentral is "partial contains small subunit ribosomal RNA and internal transcribed spacer 1". The stretch from base 1 to 46 matches the Rfam family "Eukaryotic small subunit ribosomal RNA", at positions 1786 to 1831 of the family's 1831-position model. The record is from RNAcentral.
AAGUCGUAACAAGGUUUCCGUAGGUGAACCUGCGGAAGGAUCAUUAAAGAGUCAGGGUCCGCAAGGGCCCAAACUCCCACCCUUUUGUCGUCGCGAAUCGCGUUGCCUCGGCGGGUAAACUCCCCCGGGAGGAGGGCCUCGCAAGGCCCGCCCGCCGCAGGUCCAAAUCAAUAACCAUGCUGUAACGGUGAAGUCGGAGCGAUUUAAUCAAAUGAAUCAAAA